CCGUAAGGCGCCGAAUGAGUCAUUAAAAAAUUAACAUCAUCCGAUCCCUAGUCGGCAUAGUUUAUGGUUAAGACUACGACGGUAUCUGAUCGUCUUCGAUCCCCUAACUUUCGUUCUUGAUUAAUGAAAACAUCCUUGGCAAAAUGCUUUCGCAGUAGUUAGUCUUCAAUAAAUCCAAGAAUUUCACCUCUGACAAUUGAAUACUAAUGCCCCCAACUAUCCCUAUUAAUCAUUACGUCAAUCCUAGAAACCAACAAAUAGGAUCGAACGUCCUAUUCAUUAUCCAUGCUAAUGUAUUCAAG
RNAcentral lists this ribosomal RNA (302 nucleotides) under uncultured Glomus. RNAcentral describes it as "partial 18S ribosomal RNA". Lineage: Eukaryota; Fungi; Glomeromycota; Glomeromycetes; Glomerales; Glomeraceae. The record is from RNAcentral.